GAACCAGGGGUUGAUGUAAUAUUAUGCGGAACGUACCCAAGAGUGGGGGAUAACGUAGCGAAAGUUACGCUAAUACCGCAUACGAUCUAUGGAUGAAAGCAGGGGACCUUCGGGCCUUGUGCUCCUGGAGCGGCCGAUAUCUGAUUAGCUAGUUGGUGAGGUAAAGGCUCACCAAGGCGACGAUCAGUAGCUGGUCUGAGAGGACGACCAGCCACACUGGAACUGAGACACGGUCCAGACUCCUACGGGAGGCAGCAGUGGGGAAUUUUGGACAAUGGGCGCAAGCCUGAUCCAGCAAUGCCGCGUGAGUGAAGAAGGCCUUCGGGUUGUAAAGCUCUUUUGUCAGGGAAGAAACGGGUUUGGCUAAUAUCCAGUCCUAAUGACGGUACCUGAAGAAUAAGCACCGGCUAACUACGUGCCAGCAGCCGCGGUAAUACGUAGGGUGCAAGCGUUAAUCGGAAUUACUGGGCGUAAAGCGUGCGCAGGCGGUUUUGUAAGUCUGACGUGAAAUCCCCGGGCUCAACCUGGGAAUUGCGUUGGAGACUGCAAGGCUAGAAUCUGGCAGAGGGGGGUAGAAUUCCACGUGUAGCAGUGAAAUGCGUAGAGAUGUGGAGGAACACCGAUGGCGAAGGCAGCCCCCUGGGUCAAGAUUGACGCUCAUGCACGAAAGCGUGGGGAGCAAACAGGAUUAGAUACCCUGGUAGUCCACGCCCUAAACGAUGUCUACUAGUUGUCGGGUUUUAAUUAACUUGGUAACGCAGCUAACGCGUGAAGUAGACCGCCUGGGGAGUACGGUCGCAAGAUUAAAACUCAAAGGAAUUGACGGGACCCGCACAAGCGGUGGAUGAUG
RNAcentral lists this ribosomal RNA (850 nucleotides) under Massilia sp. BJC15-A33. RNAcentral describes it as "bacterial SSU rRNA". It matches the Rfam family "Bacterial small subunit ribosomal RNA", at positions 97 to 941 of the family's 1533-position model. The record is from RNAcentral. Lineage: Bacteria; Pseudomonadati; Pseudomonadota; Betaproteobacteria; Burkholderiales; Oxalobacteraceae.